GUGGGGAAUAUUGGACAAUGGGCGAAAGCCUGAUCCAGCCAUGCCGCGUGUGUGAAGAAGGUCUUCGGAUUGUAAAGCACUUUAAGUUGGGAGGAAGGGCAGUAAGUUAAUACCUUGCUGUUUUGACGUUACCGACAGAAUAAGCACCGGCUAACUUCGUGCCAGCAGCCGCGGUAAUACGAAGGGUGCAAGCGUUAAUCGGAAUUACUGGGCGUAAAGCGCGCGUAGGUGGUUUUGUAAGUUGGAGGUGAAAUCCCCGGGCUCAACCUGGGAACUGCCUCCAAAAAUGCAUGACUAGAGUACGGUAGAGGGUAGUGGAAUUUCCGGUGUAGCGGUGAAAUGCGUAGAUAUAGGAAGGAACACCAGUGGCGAAGGCGACUACCUGGACUGAUACUGACACUGAGGUGCGAAAGCGUGGGGAGCAAACAGGAUUAGAAACCCUAGUAGUCC
Molecule: ribosomal RNA, 450 nt
Filed under: uncultured bacterium
Lineage: Bacteria
Description: partial 16S ribosomal RNA
Rfam family: Bacterial small subunit ribosomal RNA
Source: RNAcentral